Molecule: long non-coding RNA, 343 nt
Filed under: Cucumis sativus (cucumber)
Lineage: Eukaryota; Viridiplantae; Streptophyta; Magnoliopsida; Cucurbitales; Cucurbitaceae
Description: long non-coding RNA (CSAT_LNC001277)
Source: RNAcentral
GUCUCAUGGCUUGUCUUCUUUCCCGAUUUUUAAGUUCCCGCCUAACUUCGUCAGGCAACUCAGUAACAAAGCGCGUAGAAAUUGUAGCAAUAUUGGUGUUGCGCAAGUUGUUGCUGCUUCGUGGUCGAACAACUCUUCUCCUUCUUCCUCGGCGGCGGCGGCGGCGGCGUCGGCGGUUAAUACCGUCGACGCUGCUGCUGCCGCUGCCGCAGUGCCUACCGCAUCUGAUGCGGUAGCGCUGGAAGGUUCCGUUGGGAAUGAGAGUUUGAAGGUAGAGGAGAAGGGUUUAGUUGAUUCCAGAACCUCUGUUUUUGAUUCCGACGGGAGUGUUGCAAUCCACGCC